This is a long non-coding RNA of Nanorana parkeri, 291 nucleotides long. RefSeq lists it as uncharacterized. The transcript has 3 exons. NCBI's taxonomy places the organism in Eukaryota, Metazoa, Chordata, Amphibia, Anura, Dicroglossidae. The record is from RefSeq and is a predicted model, not a curated record.
GCCUGGAGUUGAUUUCAUUCAAGCUUUGAAACGCCACAAUUCCCAAUUAAUUACUCUGGGUUCCUUCAAUGGAGAAUAUCCCCAAUCUACACCUAACAUAGUCUGGAAGUAUUUUUUGGACAUGGAAGGUGAAAAAAAAUCAGUGUCUAACAAUAUAGUAACAACUUGGCCACGUUUCUAUGACAACACUACAGGACUGACACAAAAUACCUUCGUCUAUGGCAAUUCCAUAUUCACGCAUCCAAGUGCACUUAGCUUGGGAGUGGUGACCAUAAAGCGAUUUGGAAUCUU